This 75-nucleotide small RNA is filed under the name Xanthomonas campestris. Its description in RNAcentral is "sX9". It matches the Rfam family "Xanthomonas sRNA sX9". The record is from RNAcentral. Lineage: Bacteria; Pseudomonadati; Pseudomonadota; Gammaproteobacteria; Lysobacterales; Lysobacteraceae. RNAcentral also lists the same sequence under 1 other name.
AUGUACCCCCGUACACUCCGGCUCCUCCGCGCCGGCCGCACCCACCUGACGGCUGCUCGCGACGUUUUGUUAGCC